UAAUAAAGUGUGUUACUCUUACAAGCAGAAGCGACUCUAGGGGAAAGAGGAUAGGAAUAAGAGAGUCGACUGGGUGUUUAACGUCGAUGGCCAGUCUAGGUUAGUCAAACGAAAGAAAUGAGCGACGUAACUCCAACGAGCAGGAGGUGGACUUAGGUGAGGCGUCGACCAAGACGAUGUCCAAAUCGUAGCUGCCGUCGACCAAACCGACGAGCAUGCGGAGUAGCCAGAGAACAUUUACCGCUACCUCCCAUCGUCCGGAGUUCCUAAUCGACGCGGUCCCUCUAUCGCUCUAGCUGAACCAGUACCUAAAGUAGAGGACGCCCGAGCGUCAGGAGAACCUAGGUCGAAAUCAUACUCCUACGACUGCCGCAAAAGAAGGGGUUCUCGCGUUCGGUCUUCGUAGCAGAUAUAUAGCCGAGCUCCGUCGAGCCGUGAAGUGUCGUUGUAAUAAGCUUCAAGUUGGACGUCCAUCAACGAAACGCAUGAUAGCGUUGAGUCUACCUCGACCACCGUAGUUCUGUACUUGGGUGAUAGCUUAAAUUCCAGACUAGAUAUUAAAGUACUUCUAACAUGGACCUCCACCAAACUAACGAGCUGCCUCGGCCGACCACGGACGACCUCCUUCUGUUACUUCAACUGGAGCUUCUUGUACUCUAAAACCAACAUACACCUGAGACUUCUCUAUAAGAAGAUAAACCUCUCUAACUUAGAGACAUGUAACAAACACUCUAAAACCUAAACAAACCUCUCAAAAGUAGAAACAUGUCCAAGUACAAAAAAACACACCCUCCUAGUACUCUCAAAAAAGUACAAUACCAACGGCUCUCUUAUAUUGGACAUCCGUGAUAAAAAAUCUUCCAGACCAGCGAACACGAUAACAGAUCGGACAAAUCUAGUCC
This 902-nucleotide ribosomal RNA is filed under the name Triticum aestivum (bread wheat). Its description in RNAcentral is "partial small subunit ribosomal RNA". The record is from RNAcentral. Lineage: Eukaryota; Viridiplantae; Streptophyta; Magnoliopsida; Poales; Poaceae.